Molecule: non-coding RNA, 81 nt
Filed under: unclassified sequences
Also listed under: 1 other name
Description: IMES-4 RNA
Rfam family: IMES-4 RNA motif
Source: RNAcentral
CUUAUUACACGCAAAGGUAAUAAGCAAAUUAGAUAAAGGGAAACUUUAUUUAGUUUGUAUCGGGAGGAAAUGCACGAUACA